RNAcentral lists this ribosomal RNA (775 nucleotides) under uncultured Neocallimastigales. RNAcentral describes it as "partial large subunit ribosomal RNA". It matches the Rfam family "Eukaryotic large subunit ribosomal RNA", at positions 24 to 643 of the family's 3401-position model. The record is from RNAcentral. Lineage: Eukaryota; Fungi; Neocallimastigomycota; Neocallimastigomycetes; Neocallimastigales.
UAUGUGAUCGUCUCUCGCAUAUCAAUAAGCGGAGGAAAAGAAACUAACAAGGAUUCCCCUAGUAACGGCGAGUGAAGCGGGAAGAGCUCAAAUUUGAAAUCUUAAAGGGUUUCCCUUUACGAAUUGUAGUUUAAAGAAGUGUUUUCUGUUGAGGUUUUGGUAAAAGUUCUUUGGAAUAGGACAUCAUAGAGGGUGAGAAUCCCGUAUUUGACCUUUACUUUCAACUUUGUGAUACACUUUCAAAGAGUCGGAUUGUUUGGGAAUGCAGUCCAAAAUGGGUGGUAAAUUUCAUCUAAAGCUAAAUAUUGGCGAGAGACCGAUAGCGAACAAGUACCGUGAGGGAAAGAUGAAAAGAACUUUGAAAAGAGAGUUAAACAGUACGUGAAAUUGUCAAAAGGGAAGCGUUUGACACCAGUGUUGUUUUCUCUGAAAAUCAAUUAAAGAACUGUUUAUGCUAAGUUGUUUAGACUUUAUCAGCUAACUGUUUAGUUUUGAGCUUUUCUUUAAUGCACUUUUCAGUUAACAAGUCAACAUCAAUUUCUUUUGCUGUAAAAAAGCUUGAGGAAGGUGGCUUGAGAUUCGUCUUAAGUGUUUAUAGCCUCUUGCCUAUGCAGUCGGAGAGAUUGAGGUCUGCAGCGUAGAUCCUUCGGGGCUAAAUGCAUUUGUGCUAAGUUAUAGCAUUUUAUAGACAACUUGUUGACUAUGAUUUGUCUUGUAGCUUACUCGCCUAUGUUAUUUUACCUACGCUUAGGAUGUUGACACACGCGCGUGCUCG